CGGGUAAACAAAGAGAGGCAAGACCGCGAGGUGGAGCAAAUCUCAAAAAGCCGUCCCAGUUCGGAUCGCAGGCUGCAACCCGCCUGCGUGAAGUUGGAAUCGCUAGUAAUCGCGGAUCAGCAUGCCGCGGUGAAUACGUUCACGGGCCUUGUACACACCGCCCGUCACACCAUGAGAGUCGGGAACACCCGAAGUCCGUAGCCUAACCGCAAGGGGGGCGCGGCCGAAGGUGGCUUCGAUAAUUGGGGUGAAGUCGUAACAAGGUAUC
Molecule: ribosomal RNA, 268 nt
Filed under: uncultured bacterium
Lineage: Bacteria
Description: partial 16S ribosomal RNA
Rfam family: Bacterial small subunit ribosomal RNA
Source: RNAcentral